AUGAGCAACCGAACCAGUAUCAAAUACCCAGGCGCUACUAUGAGUACUACUAAGGAACACAUCAAUAACAUGUAUAUCAAAUAUACCUUUGUUCACUUUGCCAUCCUUCUUAUCCGCCAAGUAUUUGUGGCAGUUCCGCUUCUAGUGACCAUUCCCAUUACAGUAGAAGCAUUUGGUUUCAGGCUUAGGUCUAGCUUUGGGCUUCUUCAUAGGAGUGGCAACUUGCUUGCCAUUUUUCUUGAAGUUCCCUUUCUUUCCCUUGCCCUUUUCUUGAAACUAGUGGUCUUGUUAACCAUCAACACUGAUGCUCUUUCUUGGUUUCUACCUCCGCCGAUUUCAGCAUCGUGA
RNAcentral lists this ribosomal RNA (348 nucleotides) under Triticum aestivum (bread wheat). Its description in RNAcentral is "partial small subunit ribosomal RNA". Lineage: Eukaryota; Viridiplantae; Streptophyta; Magnoliopsida; Poales; Poaceae. The record is from RNAcentral.